UUAUUAAUCUAACUUAAUAAUUAACUAAAUAUUAAAGAGUCGCUGAUAUGAAAGUAAUGAGACAUUAGUUAUUAUCGCAUCAUCAAUCACACAUCACGUUCGUAUUUUCGAAGUAUCGUUAUUUAGUCAACUAAAUAAGGUUGUAGCACUUAAUUACAGUAAUUUAGAAAGCCCAAAUCAUGAUUUACAAUAAAAUUACAGUUAAAAAACUAAAAUAUCACGCAAUUCAUAGUUUGAGGACCAAGUGUGUUAUUUAGCCCUUUCUCUAGGCUUUAUUUAGCUUGUUGAGAGAAUACAUUAUGUGUGAAUUUUGUGAUAAAAAAAUAUUUUAUUUAUUUUUUAUACAAUAUGUACGUAAUAUUGAAUUUUACGUAUUAUAAUUAGUCUGUUAUGGUAUUCUUUUAUAUAUUUUUUGCUCACCUCUAUUUUGCCGGUGAGAGGCGCAGAGUUACGUAGGAUAGAAAAAUAUGUAGGAAUAUUAUGUGUGUUUUGGUGUAAAUAAAUUUUAUUUUCUAGUAAAAAAUUGUCCACAUAAAAGAUUGU
Molecule: long non-coding RNA, 543 nt
Filed under: Ananas comosus (pineapple)
Lineage: Eukaryota; Viridiplantae; Streptophyta; Magnoliopsida; Poales; Bromeliaceae
Description: long non-coding RNA (ACOM_LNC031786)
Source: RNAcentral